GUAGGGAAUCUUCCACAAUGGACGAAAGUCUGAUGGAGCAACGCCGCGUGAGUGAAGAAGGUCUUCGGAUCGUAAAACUCUGUUGUUAGAGAAGAACGUGCAUGAUAGUAACUGAUCAUGUAAUGACGGUAUCUAACCAGAAAGCCACGGCUAACUACGUGCCAGCAGCCGCGGUAAUACGUAGGUGGCAAGCGUUGUCCGGAUUUAUUGGGCGUAAAGGGAACGCAGGCGGUUUUUUAAGUCUGAUGUGAAAGCCUUCGGCUUAACCGAAGAAUAGCAUUGGAAACUGGAAGACUUGAGUGCAGAAGAGGAGGGUGGAAUUCCAUGUGUAGCGGUGAAAUGCGUAGAUAUAUGGAGAAACACCAGUGGCGAAAGCGGCUCUCUGGUCUGUAACUGACGCUGAGGUUCGAAAGCGUGGGUAGCAAACAGGAUUAGAAACCCGAGUAGUCC
Molecule: ribosomal RNA, 450 nt
Filed under: uncultured bacterium
Lineage: Bacteria
Description: partial 16S ribosomal RNA
Rfam family: Bacterial small subunit ribosomal RNA
Source: RNAcentral